UACGGAGGGUGCAAGCGUUGUCCGGAUUUAUUGGGUUUAAAGGGUGCGUAGGCGGCCGAUUAAGUCAGCGGUGAAAGUUUUGGGCUCAACCCAGAAAUUGCCAUUGAUACUGGUCGGCUUGAGUAUUGCAGGGGUACAUGGAAUUGAUGGUGUAGCGGUGAAAUGCAUAGAUACCAUCAGGAACACCGAUAGCGAAGGCAUUGUACUGGGCAACCACUGACGCUGAUGCACGAAAGCAUGGGGAGCGAACAGG
This 253-nucleotide ribosomal RNA is filed under the name uncultured bacterium. RNAcentral describes it as "partial 16S ribosomal RNA". It matches the Rfam family "Bacterial small subunit ribosomal RNA", at positions 524 to 776 of the family's 1533-position model. RNAcentral also lists the same sequence under 1 other name. The record is from RNAcentral.